This 345-nucleotide ribosomal RNA is filed under the name Triticum aestivum (bread wheat). RNAcentral describes it as "partial small subunit ribosomal RNA". Lineage: Eukaryota; Viridiplantae; Streptophyta; Magnoliopsida; Poales; Poaceae. The record is from RNAcentral.
AUGAAAGGAGGCAAGACGAUGGGCCCUGAUUGUAUCCCCAUUGAGGUGUGGAAAGGUCUCGGGGACAUAGCGAUAGUAUGGCUAACCAAGCUUUUCAACCUCAGUUUUUGGGCAAACAAGAUGCCAGAAGAAUGGAGACGGAGUAUAUUAGUACCAAUCUUCAAGAACAAGGGGGAUGUUCAGAGUUGUACUAAUUACCGUGGAAUUAAGCUGAUGAGCCAUAGAAUGAAGCUAUGGGAGAGAGUCAUUGAGGACCGCUUAAGAAGAAUGACAAGCGUGACCAAAAAUCAGUUUGGUUUCAUGCCUGGGAGGUCGACCAUGGAAGCCAUUUUCUUGGUACGAUAA